UCAGACGAUGCGUCAUGCAUAUCAAUAAGCGGAGGAAAAGAAACUAACAAGGAUUCCCCUAGUAACGGCGAGUGAAGCGGGAAGAGCUCAAAUUUGAAAUCUUCAAGGUUUGACCUUGACGAAUUGUAGUUUAAAGAAGUGUUUUCGGUUAGAGGAGUGGUAAAAGUUCUUUGGAAUAGGACAUCAUAGAGGGUGAGAAUCCCGUAUUUGACCAUUCUUUCUAGCUUUGUGAUACACUUUCAAAGAGUCGGAUUGUUUGGGACUGCAGUCCAAAAUGGGUGGUAAAUUUCAUCUAAAGCUAAAUAUUGGCGAGAGACCGAUAGCGAACAAGUACCGUGAGGGAAAGAUGAAAAGAACUUUGAAAAGAGAGUUAAACAGUACGUGAAAUUGUCAAAAGGGUAGCGUUUGACACCAGUGUUGUUUUCUCGAAAAUCAAUUAAAAAAGGCCGGAUUUUGUGUUGUAUUGACUUUAUCAGCUUUCUGCACUUUUUUCUUGUCUUUUUUAAUGCACUUUUCGUUUAACAAGUCAACAUCAAUUUCUUUUGUUGUAAAAGGGUCAUUGGAAGGUGGCUUUCUUUUCGGAGAAAGUGUUUAUAGCCUUUGGCCUCUGCAAUCGGAGAGAUUGAGGUCUGCAGCGUAGAUCCUUCGGGGUUAGAUACAUUUGUGCUAAGUUAUAGCCUUUCAUAGACAACUUGUUGACUAUGAUCAGUCAUGUAGCUUACUCGCUUAUGCUAUUUUACCUACGCUUAGGAUGUUGAUAUGCAUGACUGAUAU
Molecule: ribosomal RNA, 774 nt
Filed under: uncultured Neocallimastigales
Lineage: Eukaryota; Fungi; Neocallimastigomycota; Neocallimastigomycetes; Neocallimastigales
Description: partial large subunit ribosomal RNA
Rfam family: Eukaryotic large subunit ribosomal RNA
Source: RNAcentral